RNAcentral lists this ribosomal RNA (1346 nucleotides) under uncultured bacterium. RNAcentral's name for it is "partial 16S ribosomal RNA". It matches the Rfam family "Bacterial small subunit ribosomal RNA", at positions 28 to 1381 of the family's 1533-position model. The record is from RNAcentral.
GACGAACUCUGGCGGCGUGCUUAACACAUGCAAGUCGAACGGAAAGGCCCUGCUUUUGUGGGGUGCUCGAGUGGCGAACGGGUGAGUAACACGUGAGUAACCUGCCCUUGACUUUGGGAUAACUUCAGGAAACUGGGGCUAAUACCGGAUAGGAGCUCCUGCUGCAUGGUGGGGGUUGGAAAGUUUCGGCGGUUGGGGAUGGACUCGCGGCUUAUCAGCUUGUUGGUGGGGUAGUGGCUUACCAAGGCUUUGACGGGUAGCCGGCCUGAGAGGGUGACCGGCCACAUUGGGACUGAGAUACGGCCCAGACUCCUACGGGAGGCAGCAGUGGGGAAUAUUGCACAAUGGGCGGAAGCCUGAUGCAGCAACGCCGCGUGCGGGAUGACGGCCUUCGGGUUGUAAACCGCUUUCGCCUGUGACGAAGCGUGAGUGACGGUAAUGGGUAAAGAAGCACCGGCUAACUACGUGCCAGCAGCCGCGGUGAUACGUAGGGUGCGAGCGUUGUCCGGAUUUAUUGGGCGUAAAGGGCUCGUAGGUGGUUGAUCGCGUCGGAAGUGUAAUCUUGGGGCUUAACCCUGAGCGUGCUUUCGAUACGGGUUGACUUGAGGAAGGUAGGGGAGAAUGGAAUUCCUGGUGGAGCGGUGGAAUGCGCAGAUAUCAGGAGGAACACCAGUGGCGAAGGCGGUUCUCUGGGCCUUUCCUGACGCUGAGGAGCGAAAGCGUGGGGAGCGAACAGGCUUAGAUACCCUGGUAGUCCACGCUGUAAACGGUGGGUACUAGGUGUGGGGUCCAUUCCACGGGUUCCGUGCCGUAGCUAACGCUUUAAGUACCCCGCCUGGGGAGUACGGCCGCAAGGCUAAAACUCAAAGGAAUUGACGGGGCCCCGCACAAGCGGCGGAGCAUGCGGAUUAAUUCGAUGCAACGCGUAGAACCUUACCUGGGUUUGACAUGGAUCGGGAGUGCUCAGAGAUGGGUGUGCCUCUUUUGGGGUCGGUUCACAGGUGGUGCAUGGCUGUCGUCAGCUCGUGUCGUGAGAUGUUGGGUUAAGUCCCGCAGCGAGCGCAACCCUUGUUCACUGUUGCCAGCACGUUAUGGUGGGGACUCAGUGGAGACCGCCGGGGUCAACUCGGAGGAAGGUGGGGAUGACGUCAAGUCAUCAUGCCCCUUAUGUCCAGGGCUUCACGCAUGCUACAAUGGCUGGUACAGAGAGUGGCGAGCCUGUGAGGGUGAGCGAAUCUCGGAAAGUCGGUCUCAGUUCGGAUUGGGGUCUGCAACUCGACCUCAUGAAGUCGGAGUCGCUAGUAAUCGCAGAUCAGCAACGCUGCGGUGAAUACGUUCCCGGGGCU